Molecule: ribosomal RNA, 445 nt
Filed under: uncultured bacterium
Lineage: Bacteria
Description: partial 16S ribosomal RNA
Rfam family: Bacterial small subunit ribosomal RNA
Source: RNAcentral
GUGAGGAAUAUUGGUCAAUGGGCGGGAGCCUGAACCAGCCAAGUCGCGUGAAGGAAGAAGGAUCUAUGGUUCGUAAACUUCUUUUGCAGGGGAAUAAAGUGCGGGACGUGUCCUGUUUUGUAUGUACCCUGAGAAUAAGGAUGGGCUAACUCCGUGCCAGCAGCCGCGGUAAUACGGAGGAUCCGAGCGUUAUCCGGAUUUAUUGGGUUUAAAGGGUGCGUAGGUGGUUUGAUAAGUCAGCGGUGAAAGUUUGCAGCUUAACUGUAAAAAUGCCGUUGAAACUGUCGGGCUUGAGUGUAAAUGAGGUAGGCGGAAUGCGUGGUGUAGCGGUGAAAUGCAUAGAUGUCACGCAGAACUCCGAUUGCGAAGGCAGCUUACUAAGCUACAACUGACACUGAAGCACGAAAGCGUGGGGAUCAAACAGGAUUAGAUACCCGAGUAGUCC